AGCCAACACACACCCUUAUUCAUUCCUUAUUCACCAGGGAAGUAAAUUGAUCUACCUGCUACCAGAAACUUCAAGUUUCAGUUCAUGUAAUACUUCAACAGCCGAAAAGUAAGAGGGCCUUCAUUCAUUACUCUACCAGACUUCAAGGUAAACCUUGUCUUCAAUUCUUUCAAAUAGAUGAACAAAUAGCAUACACACAGAAUAUGGGAAAAACCUUAGCCCACUAUUGUCAUAAAUAGAUGAACAAGAUAGCCAUGGCAAGCUCAAUGAUAGAUGUUAAGUUCUGAUAUCUUUCUUACACUAUCAUCAAUAGAAAAGAG
This 320-nucleotide long non-coding RNA is filed under the name Salvia miltiorrhiza (redroot sage). RNAcentral's name for it is "long non-coding RNA (SMIL_LNC003653)". The record is from RNAcentral. Lineage: Eukaryota; Viridiplantae; Streptophyta; Magnoliopsida; Lamiales; Lamiaceae.